Molecule: ribosomal RNA, 493 nt
Filed under: uncultured bacterium
Lineage: Bacteria
Description: partial 16S ribosomal RNA
Rfam family: Bacterial small subunit ribosomal RNA
Source: RNAcentral
GACGAACGCUGGCGGCGUGCUUAACACAUGCAAGUCGAACGGUGAAGGGACCGGUUUUUGCUGGUUCUGGAUGAGUGGCGAACGGGUGAGUAACACGUGAGUAACCUGCCCCCUUCUUCUGGAUAACCGCAUGAAAGUGUGGCUAAUACGGGAUAUUCUGCGCCUGCUGCAUGGUGGGUGUGGGAAAGAUAUUGUUUCGGUGGGGGAUGGGCUCGCGGCCUAUCAGCUUGUUGGUGGGGUGAUGGCCUACCAAGGCGGUGACGGGUAGCCGGCCUGAGAGGGUGGACGGUCACACUGGGACUGAGACACGGCCCAGACUCCGACGGGAGGCAGCAGUGGGGAAUAUUGCACAGUGGGCGCAAGCAUGAUGCAGCGACGCCGCGUGAGGGAUGGAGGCCUGCGGGUUGUAAACCUCUUUCGCCAGUGAAGCAGGCCUGUCCCUUUUGUGGGUGGGUUGACGGUAGCUGGAUAAGAAGCGCCGGCUAACUACGUG